CUGGAGGUAUCAGAAGUGCGAAUGCUGACAUAAGUAACGAUAAAGCGGGUGAAAAGCCCGCUCGCCGGAAGACCAAGGGUUCCUGUCCAACGUUAAUCGGGGCAGGGUGAGUCGACCCCUAAGGCGAGGCCGAAAGGCGUAGUCGAUGGGAAACGGGUUAAUAUUCCCGUACUUGGUGUUACUGCGAAGGGGGGACGGAGAAGGCUAUGUUGGCCGGGCGACGGUUGUCCCGGUUUAAGCGUGUAGGUGUGUGUUCCAGGUAAAUCCGGUUCACUUUAACACUGAGGCGUGAUGACGAGGCACUACGGUGCUGAAGCAACAAAUGCCCUGCUUCCAGGAAAAGCCUCUAAGCAUCAGGUAACAUCAAAUCGUACCCCAAACCGACACAGGUGGUCAGGUAGAGAAUACCAAGGCGCUUGAGAGAACUCGGGUGAAGGAACUAGGCAAAAUGGUGCCGUAACUUCGGGAGAAGGCACGCUGACACGUAGGUGAAGUGAUUUACUCAUGGAGCUGAAGUCAGUCGAAGAUACCAGCUGGCUGCAACUGUUUAUUAAAAACACAGCACUGUGCAAACACGAAAGUGGACGUAUACGGUGUGACGCCUGCCCGGUGCCGGAAGGUUAAUUGAUGGGGUCAGCGCAAGCGAAGCUCCUGAUCGAAGCCCCGGUAAACGGCGGCCGUAACUAUAACGGUCCUAAGGUAGCGAAAUUCCUUGUCGGGUAAGUUCCGACCUGCACGAAUGGCGUAAUGAUGGCCAGGCUGUCUCCACCCGAGACUCAGUGAAAUUGAACUCGCUGUGAAGAUGCAGUGUACCCGCGGCAAGACGGAAAGACCCCGUGAACCUUUACUAUAGCUUGACACUGAACAUUGAGCCUUGAUGUGUAGGAUAGGUGGGAGGCUUUGAAGUGUGGACGCCAGUCUGCAUGGAGCCGGCCUUGAAAUACCACCCUUUAAUGUUUGAUGUUCUAACGUGGACCCGUGAUCCGGGUUGCGGACAGUGUCUGGUGGGUAGUUUGACUGGGGCGGUCUCCUCCUAAAGAGUAACGGAGGAGCACGAAGGUUGGCUAAUCCUGGUCGGACAUCAGGAGGUUAGUGCAAUGGCAUAAGCCAGCUUGACUGCGAGCGUGACGGCGCGAGCAGGUGCGAAAGCAGGUCAUAGUGAUCCGGUGGUUCUGAAUGGAAGGGCCAUCGCUCAACGGAUAAAAGGUACUCCGGGGAUAACAGGCUGAUACCGCCCAAGAGUUCAUAUCGACGGCGGUGUUUGGCACCUCGAUGUCGGCUCAUCACAUCCUGGGGCUGAAGUAGGUCCCAAGGGUAUGGCUGUUCGCCAUUUAAAGUGGUACGCGAGCUGGGUUUAGAACGUCGUGAGACAGUUCGGUCCCUAUCUGCCGUGGGCGCUGGAGAACUGAGGGGGGCUGCUCCUAGUACGAGAGGACCGGAGUGGACGCAUCACUGGUGUUCGGGUUGUCAUGCCAAUGGCACUGCCCGGUAGCUAAAUGCGGAAGAGAUAAGUGCUGAAAGCAUCUAAGCACGAAACUUGCCCCGAGAUGAGUUCUCCCUGAGACUUUAGGUCUCCUGAAGGAACGUUGAAGACGACGACGUU
RNAcentral lists this ribosomal RNA (1603 nucleotides) under Salmonella enterica. Its description in RNAcentral is "partial 23S ribosomal RNA". It matches the Rfam family "Bacterial large subunit ribosomal RNA", at positions 1273 to 2854 of the family's 2925-position model. Lineage: Bacteria; Pseudomonadati; Pseudomonadota; Gammaproteobacteria; Enterobacterales; Enterobacteriaceae. The record is from RNAcentral.